This 894-nucleotide ribosomal RNA is filed under the name Calcarisporium arbuscula. RNAcentral's name for it is "LSU rRNA". It matches the Rfam family "Eukaryotic large subunit ribosomal RNA", at positions 38 to 964 of the family's 3401-position model. Lineage: Eukaryota; Fungi; Ascomycota; Sordariomycetes; Hypocreales; Calcarisporiaceae. The record is from RNAcentral.
GCAUAUCAAUAAGCGGAGGAAAAGAAACCAACAGGGAUUGCCCCAGUAACGGCGAGUGAAGCGGCAACAGCUCAAAUUUGAAAUCUGGUCCUCGGGUCCGAGUUGUAAUUUGAAGAGGAUGCUUUUGGUGCGGUGCCUUCCGAGUUCCCUGGAACGGGACGCCAUAGAGGGUGAGAGCCCCGUCUGGUUGGAUGCCAAACCUCUGUAAAGCUCCUUCGACGAGUCGAGUAGUUUGGGAAUGCUGCUCAAAAUGGGAGGUAUAUGUCUUCUAAAGCUAAAUAUUGGCCAGAGACCGAUAGCGCACAAGUAGAGUGAUCGAAAGAUGAAAAGCACUUUGAAAAGAGGGUUAAAUAGUACGUGAAAUUGUUGAAAGGGAAGCACUCAUGACCAGACUUGGGCCCGGUGAAUCAUCCAGCGUUCUCGCUGGUGCACUUUGCCGGCCCAGGCCAGCAUCAGUUCGUUGUGGGGGAAAAAGGCUUCGGGAACGUGGCUCCUUCGGGAGUGUUAUAGCCCGUUGCAUAAUACCCUGUGAUGGACUGAGGUUCGCGCUCCGCAAGGAUGCUGGCGUAAUGGUCAUCAGUGACCCGUCUUGAAACACGGACCAAGGAGUCGUCCUCGUAUGCGAGUGUUCGGGUGUCAAACCCCUACGCGUAAUGAAAGUGAACGUAGGUGAGAGCUUCGGCGCAUCACCGACCGAUCCUGAUGUUCUCGGAUGGAUUUGAGUAAGAGCAUACGGGGCCGGACCCGAAAGAAGGUGAACUAUGCCUGUAUAGGGUGAAGCCAGAGGAAACUCUGGUGGAGGCUCGCAGCGGUUUCUGACGUGCAAAUCGAUCGUCAAAUAUGGGCAUGGGGGCGAAAGACUAAUCGAACCUUCUAGUAGCUGGUUUCCGCCGA